Molecule: long non-coding RNA, 628 nt
Filed under: Vulpes vulpes (red fox)
Lineage: Eukaryota; Metazoa; Chordata; Mammalia; Carnivora; Canidae
Description: lncRNA (ENSVVUG00000007583.1)
Source: RNAcentral
AUGAUUAUGAAUGUUCCGAGUGGACUCCUUGCCGCCCACCUGGCUUAAGGACUGUAAGGCACUUCGGAAAUCAAAUUUCAGGAAAGAAGAUUGGUUUGAGAAACAAUGAACGAGGAGAAAUCUUCUCUUUGCAGAGCUGCUGUGUGUCAAAGUUUAUCCUCAUUAUAUUAUGACUCUUUUGAAGGCCCACUGAGAUGAGUUUCUGCUAAUUCUCUUACAUAAAGUAGGAUGUGGAGGUCUCCGAUUCCUGCUCAGGGCCGGGAAUGGCCGUGUUCUGCAGGCUGGUGCCCUGCUGGAGCUCCAGUGGACAGAGAAGUGGAGAAGGUUCUAUAGGAGAGAAAUUGCUCGGCAAAGACACAGAGACUCCCGAGGUGCCGGACAAUAGUCGAAGAGCGAGAACACGGAGGAAUGUGUUCGUAGAGAACACCCGUGUAGGGGCGCCUGGGUGGCUUAGCCGGCUUUGACCAGGAGAGAAUAACUACAAGGAACUACUAAUUUACAAAAUGUGCAGAUGACCUAGUUUAUUCAUAACCAUAGGAGUUUUAAUUUAUUAAGCAACAAUUUAAUAUAAACAGUGCCUAGUAAUUCUAGUUCGCUGUGUGUUUCGUGGGAGAAUAAUGUAUUGCUU